RNAcentral lists this ribosomal RNA (403 nucleotides) under uncultured bacterium. RNAcentral describes it as "partial 16S ribosomal RNA". It matches the Rfam family "Bacterial small subunit ribosomal RNA", at positions 30 to 526 of the family's 1533-position model. The record is from RNAcentral.
AUUGAACGCUGGCGGCAGGCCUAACACAUGCAAGUCGAGCGAGAGGCGGAAGGGUGAGGAAUGUAUGGGGACUGCCCGAUAGAGGGGGAGAACUACUGGAAACGGUAGAUAAUACCGCAUACUAUCGGAUAACCCAUAUGGGAUUAGCUAGUAGGUGAGGUAAUGGCUCACCUAGGCGACGAUCCCUAGCUGGUCUGAGAGGAGAAUCAGCCACACUGGGCCUGAGACACGGCCCAGACUCCUACGGUGGCAGCAGUGGGGAAUAUUGCACAAUGGGCGCAAUCAUGAUGCAGCCAUGCCGCGGUUAUGAAGAAGGCCCUAGGUUUGUAAAGUACUUUCAGUCGUGAGGCGUUACCGACAGAAGAAGCACCGGCUAACUCCGUGCCAGCAGCCGCGGUAAUAC